This 247-nucleotide ribosomal RNA is filed under the name uncultured bacterium. RNAcentral's name for it is "partial 16S ribosomal RNA". It matches the Rfam family "Bacterial small subunit ribosomal RNA", at positions 526 to 771 of the family's 1533-position model. The record is from RNAcentral.
CGUAGGGGGCAAGCGUUGUCCGGAUUCAUUGGGCGUAAAGAGCUCGUAGGCGGUUCAGUAAGUCGGGUGUGAAAGCUCCGAGCUCAACUCGGAGAGGCCACCCGAUACUGCUGUGACUUGAGUCCAGUAGAGGAGCGUGGAACUCCUGGUGUAGCGGUGGAAUGCGCAGAUAUCAGGAAGAACACCUGCAGCGAAGGCGGCGCUCUGGGCUGGAACUGACGCUGAGGAGCGAAAGCGUGGGUAGCAA